This 2567-nucleotide long non-coding RNA is filed under the name Sinocyclocheilus anshuiensis. RNAcentral's name for it is "lncRNA (ENSSANG00000010194.1)". The record is from RNAcentral. Lineage: Eukaryota; Metazoa; Chordata; Actinopteri; Cypriniformes; Cyprinidae.
UUUUUAGUGAAUUGUUGGCCUUCUGGAAAGUAUGUUCAUUUACUGUACAUGUACUCAAUACUUUUGCUUUAAUUACUGCCUCAAUUCGGCGUGGCAUGGAGGUGAUCAGUUUGUGGCACUGCUGAGGUGGUAUGGAAGCCCAGGUUUCUUUGACAGUGGCCUUCAGCUCAGGUUCGCAACCCGCCAUAAAACCAAAAGAAGAAGAAGCACAGAUGCACAGAAACAGACAGAAUGACAACGAAAGAGAAGUCAAAGUGGAAUAAAAGAACGCAAUGUUCGGCAAUCAACUGCAAAAACUAUCAGUGCAACAGUACCCAUCUUGCCUUUCAUCGUUUUCCCAAAGACCCUGACAGGUGUGCCAGGUGGGUGCAGAAUCUCAGGAAUGCAUCUUUGAUGGGGAUAAGCUUUCAGCGGCUCCAUCACAACUAUAGGGUGUGCAGUGCACAUUUUCACACUAGCCAGUUUAAGAGACCAUCUAAUGUCCAUGCAGGAUUGAAAUGGGAUGCAGUGCCCACAAUGGUUAAUGCUCCUACCCCACCACCCCCAUUGGACUUGGUGUUAAAGAGAAAGCCACCAAAGACGCGUCAGGAGUUACCACCAAAGAGACGUAAAAAAAGUAAUAUUGUUUACCUGCCAAAUACAGGCUCAUCCACUGCAGACAGUGUUCAACAACCCACUGGCUCAGAGACCGAUAUUACCUCUCCUGAUGCUUCUGUAGCAAGACCUUCGAUGUCACUGACUCCACUGUUGCCCCCAAUGUCAUUGCCAACAGGCCUUGAAGCUGCUGCCAGGGAACAUGCCCUGAAGAUGAAGAUUAGGAGUCUGAAGGUACAGGUGUGCAAACUGAAGGUGGAAGUGAACAGGCUGAAGAAGACCAGGAAGGCCUGUGUUAAUAAGGAGUCAGUGAUGAAGCAGUUGAAGAAACUCUUACCAGCCAAAGCAUAUGCUUUUGUGAGUACACAGAUACAUAUGUUUCAGCGGAAGGCUGAUGGUUUUCGGUGGACCACUCAGGACAAAGCUUUCUUCUUGUCUCUGCUACAUGCCAGUCCAAAGUGUUACAGGCUGCUGUUUAAAGCGUUUUCUAUGCCAUCUGUCCGCACACUGCAGAAGCUUAUGAAGUCUAUCGAUAUUGAGAAGACUAUUGGCGAACACAGCUAUGCUAGAGUGACUACUGACUGUAGAGUAGAUGAAACAGGCACCGUAUAUGCAGAUCCACCAGUCACUGCUAAUGCGGAAGCCAAAGCUGAACAGGUGGAGCAGCCAAUAGACUAUACACUUGACCACCAGUUUGAUUCCCACCAAAUAUCUUCUUUUAGUUCUGGAGAUCAUGAACAGUGAUGCUGUGCGGGAGUCUGAUGUGAGGGUGUUCUACCAAAACAUGUCCUGGACCUGCUGAAUGACAUGAGAUGAGGCCACCAAGUUCAGCAGCAUUUGCCUUUGACCAUGAUGGAAGUGUACUGGUUUACAUAGCUGGGUAUAUGGCCAGUAAGGUUGUGGGGAAAUUCGCAAUCAGUGAAGAUUUUCCCUGCAAGGAGUAUAAAAUCUUGAACACAGAUAUCCCUGCUGAUUCACAGUACGCAUUCCUCAAGGACAAGCAGUACACUGACCUCAACUUAGGAGAGAAGAGCCUUAAAGUGCCCAGCAUGGCACUGGUAGAUUUAGCCAUAGCUCUGGAGUCUAACUUCCGAAUAAAGAAAUAAAGAUCAGCUCAGUUAUCCACACAGUUAGGCUGGGUGGGAAGAUAUUUACCAGUAGGAUGGUGAUUGUGAGUGAGUGCAGGGGAGUAGUGUGUGACACGGAGAAGUGCAAAAAGUCACUCCCCUACAUGGUUAGACUCUUUAUACAGAUCAGAAUCCAUCGACAUCUUACGCACCCAAAAUUGGCAGAUCUCGCAGCCAAAUUAGAGGCACAAUAGAACAUUUCUCAAAUUAGUCAUCUGUAAAUUUUAUGACACCUACAGUAAAUGUUGUAUUGUCUUGUAUAUGUUUUAUGUUAUCAGUUGUGGAAUCCAACCAUUAAGUACACAUUUAAGGUAGGUUUAGCCUACUUUGAGUAUUUCCCUUUUAUGCAACUUUACACUUUUACUAUUACUAUUACUCCACUAGGUAUGAAAUGUAUAUUGUAUGUUUUAAUCCCCUGGAACACACUGCAAACAUAAUGAUCUUAUAGAACACGAUGCAUUGCUGUGUCUGUAAUAAUUGAAUCAUUAAUUUGAGACUGGCUGUAAAAAAAAGUUUUUUUUUGUUUACAGUCUUGCUUUAACGGACAUUAAUAUAAGACAAUACUGCAAAAACAGUUUACUGUCAAGCUUUUAUAAUCCUGUUAUUGUCCAACAUUCCCAGUUUUUCCGAUGCAUUUCCUUCAUUUAAUUGUAUAUGUUGGUAUUAGUGUUAUUAUAUUAUAGUGUUUAUUAUAGUGUUAUAAUAGUGGUAUUAAUAUUCAGUGUUUAUAAUGCUGAUACUUGAACAAAAUAAUUUAAACUGAAACUGACAUGGUUUCUAGAGAGCAAAGGUUUUGUGAAAAAAAUGGAAGACAAACACAAAGUCUAAAAUAAACUGUUAAAUGAA